UACGUAGGGUGCAAGCGUUGUCCGGAAUUAUUGGGCGUAAAGAGCUCGUAGGCGGUCUGUCGCGUCGGAUGUGAAAACCCAGGGCUCAACCCUGGGCCUGCAUUCGAUACGGGCAGACUAGAGUUCGGUAGGGGAGACUGGAAUUCCUGGUGUAGCGGUGAAAUGCGCAGAUAUCAGGAGGAACACCGGUGGCGAAGGCGGGUCUCUGGGCCGGAACUGACGCUGAGGAGCGAAAGCGUGGGGAGCAAACAGG
This 253-nucleotide ribosomal RNA is filed under the name uncultured bacterium. Its description in RNAcentral is "partial 16S ribosomal RNA". It matches the Rfam family "Bacterial small subunit ribosomal RNA", at positions 524 to 776 of the family's 1533-position model. The record is from RNAcentral.